Molecule: ribosomal RNA, 445 nt
Filed under: uncultured bacterium
Lineage: Bacteria
Description: partial 16S ribosomal RNA
Rfam family: Bacterial small subunit ribosomal RNA
Source: RNAcentral
GUGAGGAAUAUUGGACAAUGGGCGCAAGCCUGAUCCAGCCAUGCCGCGUGCAGGAAGACACAUCUAUGGUGUGUAAACUGCUUUUGUACGGGAAGAAACACUCCCUCGUGAGGGAGCUUGACGGUACCGUAAGAAUAAGGAUCGGCUAACUCCGUGCCAGCAGCCGCGGUAAUACGGAGGAUCCAAGCGUUAUCCGGAAUCAUUGGGUUUAAAGGGUCCGUAGGCGGUUUAAUAAGUCAGUGGUGAAAGCCCAUCGCUCAACGAUGGAACGGCCAUUGAUACUGUUAGACUUGAAUUACAAGGAAGUAACUAGAAUAUGUAGUGUAGCGGUGAAAUGCUUAGAUAUUACAUGGAAUACCAAUUGCGAAGGCAGGUUACUACUUGUGGAUUGACGCUGAUGGACGAAAGCGUGGGGAGCGAACAGGAUUAGAAACCCCAGUAGUCC